Molecule: transfer RNA, 95 nt
Filed under: Myxococcales bacterium
Lineage: Bacteria; Pseudomonadati; Myxococcota; Myxococcia; Myxococcales
Description: tRNA-Sec
Rfam family: Selenocysteine transfer RNA
Source: RNAcentral
GGAGGCGCUCGCCGAGCUGGUGCUGGCCGCGGGCUUCAAACCCGUUGUGAGGCGGUGAUCCCGUCCCGGGCAGGUUCGAUUCCUGUGCGCCUCCG